UAGUGAGUGCUAUAGAAUUAGGGUGAGAAGAGCAAAACAAAAUUGCCAAGAACCCUAAUUGAUUGAUUGAUUCAUUUUCAUUCCAAUGGCGUCCGAAGAGGUGGAGUCUCACUCCUAGACAGACCUAGCAACAACUCAAGCUCCGUCCUCGUGAAGAUCUCUCGCUCCUCCAUCGUCACCCGCAGCAAGGAAGCCGCCGGUGACGCCGCAUUCGUUGCCAAGAAGCUCCUCCGCAGCACCGGCAAGGCCACGUGUAUUCCUUUUGCCUCUUUGUUUCCUUGUUAUUUAGGAUGGGAUUUUCCUACCAUAUGAGAAUGUGCUCAACUAUGACAGCUUUGCUGUUCGAAUACCUGAAGCGGAAAUUCCGAACUUGAUAAAGACCCUUCGGGGAUUCAAUGAUACAAAAAUUGAAUUCAAGCUGGCAAAUGUUCAGAAAAUAUGGCAAAGAUUCUUGUAUCGUGAUUCUGUUUUGCUUGAAGCUGAAAGGCGAAAAACUGCUAUUGGACAUGUUGAUGAUUGGGCUGUUGAAUUCUUAAAGCUGACAGAGGAUGAUGCCUUUGCCACUUUAAUACAGAUUUUGCAUUACAAAUUACAUAAUGACCGUUGGAGGAAACAAGUUCGCCACAAUAAACAGUUUGGAUUACCUCACCAGUGUCUGGAAAUUUGUGAAUCAGGUGGUGGCUGGUUACCUGCCAAGUGUGAUAUUGGUUUUAUUUUUGUGCACAGUUCCACAUGUGAUGAUUCUAUUUUCUUUUGUGGAGGGUUCUAUUUCCCGUAGUGAAAGUAAGAAGAGUGCAUGUUUUAAAGUCUUGUACUUCACAAUCUGGAACGUGUUUUUUGUUAAUGUAUUUAUUGGUUCUGUAAUCAGUCAGCUCUCAGUCUUUUCUAGCGUAACAGAUCUGUCUGCCCAGCUUGCCAAGGCAGUGCCAGUGCAAGUGAUGCAUCUUAAUUCCUACAAGAAUAGCGUGAAUUUUGAAUUCUUACCCUUUAUUUAGAUUUAUUCUUUGGAUAUGACAUGUUAUGGAGUAUUGUUGUGUUGUAUUGUUGAAAUGAUUUUUUAUGCACUUGGAUGUAUGCAGGCUACUUUCUUUACAACUUACAUUCUAUCAUCUGGUUAGGCAAGUUUGGCAGUUGAAGUUAUGCAAAUUUUCCCUCUACUAUGCAAUCUUUUCUAGAGAUUCAUACUCAGGCUUAAGGAAGAUGCACUGGAUGGCAACCUAUCUUUUCCGUACCAUACAGAAGUUCCAAGAAUCUUACUGUUUGGAUUCCUUGGGUUCACUUGUGCUAUUCUGGCACCCUUAAUGUUGCCCUUCUUGUUGAUCUACUUUUUCAUUGCUUACCUUGUUUAUUGAAACCAGAGAAACACUUAUUUGGAGAUGCUACUAGAUAUACAGAACAGGCAAUUGAUGUUCAAUUUUGAAUUGCAGAAAACGUUUGGUCUGGAUGGUGCUCGUGUUUUUGAUAUGGACAUUUCAAAUCAAAUUUUAUUAAUUGCACAAAAGCGAAAGCAAUAGGUGGAAUGCACUUGUUAACUAAAGUAAGAUUCUUCAAUUUGAAGUAUUUAUGUGUAUAUGUAUGUGGCUUUAGCAUAUCUUAACUCUUAUACAAUGAAGGAUUUCAAUUUAACCUUUAUGGGUGUGGCGUCCCUAAAUAAUGACUGGUUUAAUAGUAAUAAAUUAAAUGGCAGAAAUCAUGAGAUUUUUUUUUCGCACUGUUAUUUAUUUCACGGUAAUUAAUUUCAGAAGGAAAAUUAUCACUAUAGAGUCCUGAGUGGCCAGUUCACAACUCUAUUCGGAUUCAUUUUUUUCUGAUCACUUAUAACUUCCAAACUAUUUUUCUUUUUCAGAAAAAAAUACCAGCCAUCAUUUUGGGUCGUCAUGUGAGAAAUAAUAAGGUGUUGAGGGAAGGAGCCCAGAG
Molecule: long non-coding RNA, 1917 nt
Organism: Glycine soja
Lineage: Eukaryota; Viridiplantae; Streptophyta; Magnoliopsida; Fabales; Fabaceae
Exons: 7
Source: RefSeq, a predicted model, not a curated record